GUUUUCAUUAUUCUCUUUCUCUGCGACUCUUUGAUCGGCGAUUUUGAAUUUUGCUCUGGUUUCAAAUUUUCAAGUUCUUUCCCUUGUUGUACUCGAUUUGAGUAUAACUAAUCGGAGAUUGAUGGUUUUCUCUUCGAUCAUGUUCGUAUAAGAAGACAGAGACUGGAUUCUUCUCUCAUUGAUCACAGAGAGUUUUCUCGAGAAUGCUUUCGCAACAGUCUACAUACUCUUCAGAUAUUUUUGAAGACUCAGAGAUUUCAAAGUGUCUAUGGACUUCAAGAUUGAUCACAGCGAUAAUUGAAAAAUAGACUCUGCAUAACAUCCCUCAGGUACUUUCUUGGUGAUUUUUAGAAAUUGUUUGAUGCAAGAAUAUGAAAUUACUUUAGGAUAAGGCAUGUGCUUCUCCUAUGUUUGUAUACGAUUGGUUGAUAUAAGUAUUAAUGUUAGAAAUCUUAAGUUAACAAGAUCCUGCUUUAAAUACCUGAGCAACUGAUUCAAUGGAAUUUAUUUGACAAUCACUCUUCUUAGUGCAGGGUAUAAAAAUGUCAACAAAGAUAGAAACACUAUCAUAAUCAAAACCUACUUCUGAUAAAAAUGAAGAAUUUGUUACAUUAAUUGCAACUCGGUCUUAGGUAAGUAAACAAUUUAGAUAAUCGUUAGAAAAAGAUACCUUUUACUUGUUUAGUAUUGUUAUGAACAUUUAGACGUGAGAAUAUGAUUUUAUUGGUUGUUUUAUGGACUAUUAUGUGGACUAUGGUUUAUAAUUUGAAGCUAUGGCUUAAAUCCGUUGGUCAUUCUAUGGAUUAUUCUUUGGAGCGAUGGCUUGAAUUUUGUUAGUGGUUGCAUGAUCUGUACUUACUUAAAUAUGUGUAUUGUGUGGUCUAAUAUGCUAACUUGAAUAUGUGCUUGUGUGGUUUAUGCUUUGAAGUUGUGACUUUUUCGGUUGUUUGUUGUGUAGUAUUUGUUUGCUUGAAUAUGUUGGUUGUUACACGGUGUUUUCUUACCUUAAUCUUUGUGUUGAUUGGUUUAGUGCUAACUUGAAUACCUUGUUUGUUUGAGUGGUCUAUGUAUUAAUUCAAAAAAUAGCUAUUACUAACAUUGAAAUUUAUGAUGAACUCGAAAAGAGAUGGUUAUUGAUUGUCCUUGGAAGAUUAUCUUACUUGAUUUGUAAUGAUUGCUUAGUAGUGGUUCGAUAUGAGACCUUUCUUUUGUUAUGAGUGUCUGAGAAGGGAGAAAAAAUAUUUAGUGCUCAAUUACAAUUUUCGUUGAUCAACAAUAUCUCUCCAGAUUACUAUAAAUUACGAUUAUUCAUGGAUAUACAUUUUAACAAGUUAUAUUUCAUCAUCUGUCUUUCAAGUUUGAUUGCUCCGUUAAUUUACUAAUAGAAAUCAUUAGUUUCUAGUUUUGUGUUGUGUUUCUUCGUGUCUGAAGCUAAUUUUGUAACCGUGAAUGAUACUAGUUCUCUUGUUUCUUGAAAGAUUUCAAUUUCUUUGUUAUGUAAAGUAACUGUUUCCAGAGAAAUUGUUUAAGUAUGAAAUACUUGUUAGCAGGUUUUUAACCUUUGGGGUUAAAAAAACUGGUGAAAGACUCAUCAAUGUUUCCUCCAAAACAUGAGCCUUUGAUACCAAAUGGUAAUGAUUGUUUCAGGGUUCUUCAACAUCUUUAGCUUUCCUUCAAUCUUCCACAGUCUUGCUUUCUUUAGGAACAUUCUUCAGAAUCUCUAAGAGAGACCACAAGCGUUUUGUUCUUAGUCUAUUUCUUGAAUGUUCUCUUCUAGUUCUAGUUUUUAUGUAGCUUGUUUGGCUUGAAGUUAUCUUCUUCCUUUUAAUAGACGUUAGAAUAUGGUUUAUAGAAACCAAAACAGAACCACAGAAAUUUUUGAAGUGC
RNAcentral lists this small RNA (1887 nucleotides) under Arabidopsis thaliana (thale cress). RNAcentral describes it as "ncRNA (AT4G02005)". The record is from RNAcentral. Lineage: Eukaryota; Viridiplantae; Streptophyta; Magnoliopsida; Brassicales; Brassicaceae.